Molecule: ribosomal RNA, 259 nt
Filed under: uncultured bacterium
Lineage: Bacteria
Description: partial 16S ribosomal RNA
Rfam family: Bacterial small subunit ribosomal RNA
Source: RNAcentral
UGGCGGACGGGUGAGUAACGCGUGGGUAACCUGCCUUACACGAGGGGGAUAACACCUGGAAACAGGUGCUAAUACCGCAUAAGCGCACAGGGCCGCAUGGCCCGGUGUGAAAAACUCCGGUGGUGUAAGAUGGACCCGCGUCUGAUUAGCUUGUUGGCGGGGUAGAGGCCCACCAAGGCGACGAUCAGUAGCCGGCCUGAGAGGGUGGACGGCCACAUUGGGACUGAGACACGGCCCAAACUCCUACGGAAGGCAGCAG